UGCUCCCUUCCUGACACCAAAUGAACUUCCUCCCAUAAACAUUUGAGCACCACCCUCUUCAGCUUCUCCUCUUGAAAGUCUGACAACCCUGAUCUGAAACAAUCACUGGAUUUAUCCUGCAAACUCCCUGCAACAAUAGCCCCGAGGGAAUACCUUCUCCAGCACUGCAGUGGUUCAAGAAUAUGGCUGACUACAACCUUCUUAAAGGCAACAGGCAAUAAAUACUAUGCUUGCCAGCAAUGAGUUCUGAAUUUGGCCCCUUACUCUCUGUUCCACUGUCUUUUGGAGAUGUGUUACUUGCAGGCUCGGACGGUUAAGUGGUCACAAACACUUUAGGAACCACAAAAGCAUGCAGCUAGAGGGAGUCGCCUCUGAAUGAGCUAACAGGGAGCCAUGAAACAAAGAAACCCAAUGGAGCCCAUUUAGACAAAAGAAGAUUGUUGAACACCCAAUGUGCAGAGGCAGGCAAAUCAAGCUGUGCAAACAAUAAAAGUAAGCAAACAGCAUUCAGAACUGAAGUUCGCGGAAGUGAGUCCACAGCCAAUUCAGAAGGCCGUUAGUUGCAGGCCUCAGCCUCAGUUCGGUGCAGAGACGAGUAAGGAGUGGAGCAGCGAGCUGAAGUCCAGAGCAGAGACAGAUCUCAUGACCUGAUUGGCAAUGCUGCUGGAGCAAGAUGUGCUGCUUCAACAGAGGAAGAAAUAAAAUUGGCUGAGAAGCAGGAAAGCAACAUAGUGCUGUGUUUUGUGAAAUACGGCAGCAACUCUAGAUCAUCAAGGCCAACGUCUAAUGUAUGAUUUAAUUAGCCCUACUCCCAUGUUAUUGACCCACUGUUUUGAAAAUUGCUCCUUUUCAAGUACGUAUGUAACUAUAAAGCUAUGAUUGAAUCUUCUUUUGCCAACUCAGCUAAUACAUAUAAAAAUACCACAUUUUCCCCCGGCUCUUUUAAAACCAUGGUGCUGGUCUUUGACCCUUUUGCCAGUGGAAAUAUACGAUAUUUAUUGAA
Molecule: long non-coding RNA, 1003 nt
Organism: Hypanus sabinus (Atlantic stingray)
Lineage: Eukaryota; Metazoa; Chordata; Chondrichthyes; Myliobatiformes; Dasyatidae
Exons: 3
Source: RefSeq, a predicted model, not a curated record